CCCGAACGAAAGUCGGGCUAAUACCGCAUAUGGCCUAUGGGUCAAAGCAGCAAUGCGCCAGUUGAUGAUCCCGCGGCCCAUUAUUUAAUCCUAGUUGGCGGGGUAAUGGCCCACCAAGGGUACGAUGGGUAGCUGGUCUGAGAGGACGAUCAGCCACACUGGGACUGAGACACGGCCCAGACUCCUACGGGAGGCAGCAGUGGGGAAUAUUGCGCAAUGGGCGAAAGCCUGACGCAGCCAAUCCGCGUGGGUGAUGAAGGCCUUCGGGUUGUAAAGCCCUGUCGUGAGGGACGAAGUUCUGACGGUACCUCACAAGAAAGCACCGGCUAACCCCGUGCCAGCAGCCGCGGUAAUACGGGGGGUGCAAGCGUUGCUCGGAAUCACUGGGCGUAAAGCGUCCGCAGGUGGAGAGGAAAGUCGGUCGUGAAAGCCCGAGGCUCAACCUCGGAACUGCGAUCGAAACUUCCUCCCUCGAGUUCGGGAGAGGGGAGUGGAAUUCCUGGUGUAGAGGUGAAAUUCGUAGAUAUCAGGAG
This 533-nucleotide ribosomal RNA is filed under the name uncultured bacterium. RNAcentral describes it as "bacterial SSU rRNA". It matches the Rfam family "Bacterial small subunit ribosomal RNA", at positions 147 to 703 of the family's 1533-position model. The record is from RNAcentral.